This 71-nucleotide transfer RNA is filed under the name Dipodomys ordii (Ord's kangaroo rat). It matches the Rfam family "tRNA". Rfam says of the family: Transfer RNA (tRNA) molecules are approximately 80 nucleotides in length. Their secondary structure includes four short double-helical elements and three loops (D, anti-codon, and T loops). Lineage: Eukaryota; Metazoa; Chordata; Mammalia; Rodentia; Heteromyidae. The record is from Rfam by way of RNAcentral.
GGGAAUGUGGCUUAGUGGUAAAAGUAUUUGCCUAGCAUGCAUGAAGACUUGGGUUUGAUUCCUCAGUACCA